Molecule: long non-coding RNA, 23633 nt
Organism: Homo sapiens (human)
Lineage: Eukaryota; Metazoa; Chordata; Mammalia; Primates; Hominidae
Exons: 2
Source: RefSeq, a predicted model, not a curated record
UGAUUUUGUUAGUCUUUUGUAUGGUUUUUCACGUCUCAGUUUCAUUCAGUUCAGCUCUGAUUUUGGUUAUUUCCUGCCUUUUGCUAGCUUGGGGUUGGUUUACUCUUUUCUCAACUUGAUCUGGUCUGCUGUUAAUACCUUCAGUUGUAUUAUGAAAUACUUGGAGUACGUUUUUCAGCUCAAUUAAGAUCAGUUUGGUUCUUCCUUAAAAUGGCCAUUUUGUCUUUCAGCUCCGGUAUCAUUUUAUUGUAAACCUUGGAUUCCUUGGAGUGGGUUUCAACUUUCUCCUGAAUCUUGAUGAUCUUCAUUCCUAUUCAUAUUCUGAAUUCUGUGUCUGUCACUUCAGCCAUUUCAACCUGGUUAAGAGCGAUUUAUGGGGAGCUAGUCAUUUGGAAGAGAGAAGACGCUCUGGCUUUUUGAGUUGCCAGAGUUUCUGUGCUGGUUCUUCCUCAUCUGUGUGGUCUGGUGUUCCUUUAACUGUGGUGUAAUUUGAGUAAAGUCAGUUGACUUCCUUUCUGGUUGUUUUCAGAGGGCUGAGGCUUUGCGCUGCAUCUUGAUUUGUGGUUGAAUUCUUGUCCUUGUUUUCUUGGGAGCAGUGUUUGUCAGCAGAGUAUUUUUGGUGUGGCAGUUUGGGCUGUUGUCCAAUAGAUGGGGGAUAAGCAUAAUGGAUGGUAGGUAGGCACUCGUUCAGCCACGUGGCUUCUCUGUGUUUCCUAGGGUUUGCAGUCAAACUGCCUCUCAGUUUUCUGAGUGUGGACUCCUCUCUCACUCAAAUGCUGGCUGCAGAUCUUGGAUUGGCACUCUCAGGCUGCACACCAUACCGCAGCUCUGGGGUGAGCUCAGGCUUUAUGUUCCCUCCCCAGCUUGGGGGCAGCAAGGACAGGGAUCUCAGCAGUGGCAGUGGCAGAGGACCUUUCACUUGUCCCUGGAGAUUCCGCCCCAGAGAAACACAGAGCCGCUACCAGUUGGAGCCAUCAGCCCAGGCUGGGGCGGCUGUGUUGUGGGCCCAAGCCAGGGCGCCCUGCUUAGUGAUGAGUAGGGGUGUGGGGUGCUUAUGGGGAAGACAGACUGGCUUCUUCUCCUUAGGGCGGCUGAGGCUUGCUCGAGGUGUGAGUAAAGCAUCAGGGUCUUUGUACCUUCCCCACUCCAAGGGCAAGAGGGGCAGAGUCAUUGCAGUAGCGGUGGCAGAGUGGCUUUCAUUUGCCUCUGAGAGCUCCACCCCAGAGAAACGUGCAGAGCCGCUGUCAAUGGGAUGUUCAGUCAGGGCGGCUGCAGCGUCCGCCCAAGCUGAAGGCCCUACUUGGGGGUUGGGGGCUCACAUGGAAGAGAGACUGAGUUCCCUGGCGUGCUGGUGGUUCAAGUGAAGCCCUCCUGCUCUUUGUUCCUUCCCCAGUCCCAGGACAGCAAGGGCAGAACGGCUGCAGUGGUGGUGGCAGAGGGGCUGUCAUUGCCUCUGGGAACUCCAUCCACCCCAGGGAAACACAGAGACACUACCAGUGGGAAUGCUUAGUCGGGAAUGGGGCAGCUGGUCUUCCAUCCCGAGGGGCUGGGGGAUCCUCUCCUUACGGUGGCUUCAGUGUGCCGGGGAUGUCAGCAAUGCAACCUGGCUCGUUUUCCUUUUCCAGCCUGCCUGCGGUAAGGGUGGGCCUGCUGCGGCUGCAAUGGGAGAGGGGCUGUGGGUUGUCUCUGCUAUUCUCCCCGCCCCCUCCCCAGAGAAAAGCAGAGCCUCCACUGACUAAAGUGAUCAGGCCGGGGAAGGGGGGUUGUGCUGGGAGCCCAGGUCAGGAGGCCCCGUGCAGUGAGGAGUAACGGGGGCAGGGACCCGCGUGGAAAACUGGCCGCCUUUUCCUAAGACAGCCUUGCGGUGCUGGGGGCCGGCGUUAGUCCUUAAUCACUUCGCUCCAGCUGAGCCUGAGAGAAGCAGGAGCGGGACUGUGGAGCAGCAAAACCUGCAGGCCAGCCUGUGCUCUCUGGGAUCACUGUCUCAGGCAAGGGCAGGGCUACCACUGGCCUGAGAGUACAGGCGGCACUGCGGUGGUCACGCCAGGCUCCCAGGCCAGUCGGCCUUGUCCAUCCAGGUGCAGUGGAGGCGAGGCCUGCGGCCUGUCGCUGCUCAGCCCUAGGGAUUCAGCCCCUUUCCUAGGGACGUGUGAGGGAGCCUGGCCUCCACUGUUGCUGGAGCUGCAGCCCCUGGUUGCUACCAGAGUUCCCAGGGGUCCAAGAUCCCCGGACUCUGCGUGUGUCUGAACAGCAGCUCUGCCCGGACUCCUCGUAGCUCUCCGUGUCAAUCAGGAGGCCCUGGCUGUGCCACGGGGUUCAUGGUGCAUCUCCUGAGCCCAGGGUUCAGAGGUCUGGAAGAAGUGUGGGACCCCGAGGGCUCUCCCUUACUCACCGUUUCCCGGCAGUGGGGAGCCUCCCCCUGAGUCUGUGCCAGUCCUGAGGAGGUGGCUGUCCUGUCUUGCUCUUCUCUGUUCUUUGUGGAUUGUGUUGCUUCCUUGAUUAACCCCAGUGUGUACGCCUGGCCCAUCCAGUUGAGGAGCUAGUGCUCACUUGUUCCUCUUUCUCUUUUCCAUGAGCGCAGUGCACACUGGCUGCUUGUACUCAGCCAUCUGGGGCCCCAAUCUCAGUAUUUUCAUUUCAUUAGACUACCUAGGAAAGAAAUGAGUAAAGUAGUUUUAGCCAUUGGACACUCACUAUGGUAGAUUUUGCAGGCAGAACAACCUUCUUGAUGGUUCCACAUAUGGCGAGCACAGACAUUAGAAGCCCUUAUCACAUUUUCUCACUAUUGAUAGACUCACACCUUUACUGGCACUGUAUUCUUUUAUUAGUUGACAUUGAUCAGUUAUUCCAGAAAAUAUGUUCAAUGUUGUAUUAACUGACCUUUGUUGACUCCAUGUGUCUAUGGAACUUUAUAUAUAUUUCAUAAUAUCUGACUUUAGAACUUGACGUAUUAACCAACUAUUGAAUCUGGAUUGUAUAAGUCAUUUUGUAUAACAUAGCCUUUGAAAUAUACACAACCAGGGUCAAGGCUCUUGUGUUCCUUGUCUCCUCUCUGUCUUUGUCUUUAUACCUGUGGACCAAAAAUUGCAUGGACCUGGUAUCCUGGAUCCUAUUGAUUAUGCUGAUUACAUCGACUAGUCUUUUAAUCAUUUAUACUUCUUAAUUGCUUCUGCAUCUGGCAGAAAACAUUAGAAGCAGGCAUUAAUAUUUUGUUAUACAAGUCACAGGAGGAAUUUAGUAGAAAUUCUUUGACUCUGUGUUUGUGAUAGAAGUGAGUAAAGGUAAUACUUUUUUUUUUUUAAAAUGUGUCUCCAAAUGCCAACAUCUGCUCAGGAAGAAAAAAAGGACAUUUGUCCCAAUGUUUGCAUUAUUUCCUAUAUAUAGAACUCUUUGGAUGAUUUUUAAUUUAAUAACUAUUUUUGAAAAGACUUAAUGCAUUUAACAUCUAAAUAAAGAAAAACAUAAUUUAUAUAACUAAACAAAGUUAGUGCUGUAUGCGUAAAUGCUAACAGAUUGUUCACCUAUAAGUACCUACAGCCUUCCUAAUUUAAGCGUGGGGCUACAUUCUGGAUUCACACAUUUUUUGCCCAAAGGUAAAUUAUUGUUAAAAGGUAAAGAGAAUAUCUAUUCAGCUGUUUUUGGGUGAGGAUAUGACGUAUUUUAGCUAUACAAGUAGUGUAAAUUUUAGUGUGUACAUUUUUACUUUAGAUGAAUUUAGAAAUUGAAGCCUGACCUAUACAGAUUACUUAAGUUAAAAAUGGUUUGCCAAAUUUAAACAUAGUAAUCUGAAGCAUGAUAGAUUAAAUGUAAAAUUCAAUAUCUGAAAUAUAUUUCCCUCGCUUUUUAAUAAAAAGGUAUCACCUUGGGGAAAAAUAUGUCUUUUCAAAUCAAAGUUUAGAUUAUACAUUGUAAUACAAAAUUUUACCUUAAAAGAAAUACAAUUCUUAAGUUCUAAAAUGAAAAAAGUAAGCAGUGAAACAACACUUACAUGUGUUAGUAUCCCUGUUAUUUCAGGAAGCAAAGUAAAAGAGGGUGUGAACAUUUCUACACAUCAACAUUCACAAAAGUAUCUUUGUAAUGUAGUGAGUAUAAGAAUGGCUUGAUAGGACUUCAGAACAAUGUAAAUCUCUGUGAUUUCUCCUGGGGAUUCUGACUCCUUAGUAUGCAGUAGGGCCCAACAAUCUGUAUUUUAAAUAAACAAAUCAUAUAAUACAGAGACAACUUCGAGACUCACUGAUAUGGGAAUGAUUUUUUAUUUUUCCAUGUAUGUGAGCUUUAAUUUUAAAAUCAAAUAUAUGUCUAAGUAUUGAUAUGAUUUAUUUUAGAAAUUGAUUUCUCUUAAUUACACGAAAGGAAGUUUUGUUGUUGUUUUGUUUUGCUUUUUGAUGAGUCAUGAUAGUUAUUUGGAAAUAAUUCCCAAUGUUAUAAAGAAAAACACAUAUUUUUCAAGUGACUGCUAUUUGUUUGCUACUUUGCUAAGCUACGGCAACCAAAAUGUUAAAAAUCCCUGCUUUCUGAGGGUGUUUAAUCUGGCUAGGUAAUUAAAGCAUCUAGAUCAAAAUGUUAAAGAGUCUAAAAGAUUAUAAGAUGGUAUAUUCUAAGACUCUCAAGACCCCACUGGUAAAUAGAGACCAUUAAAUUAGGAAUCAGAAAACAUGACUUUGGUUACUCUCUGUGCCUCUUAACAGUUCUCCGCUGUGUGUAAGUCUUUUAACAUUUGCACUGAAUCUACCUUGUAUCCAUUACAAUUAGUAUGAAAAUACUCCACUUUUACAAAUCACUAGCUUAUGGUGGGAUAUGUGUGCAAUAAUCUGUAUAAAAUAUCAUGUUAUAAAUAAUUUAGUAAAUAUAUGAUAUUAUGAUUAUUAAGGGUUUUAGGAGUUAAAGGCUAAAAUAUAUUAAAAUGCUAAGGUAAUAGAAGAAUGUAUCGGAAAAUUAGUGCAAAGAAAAGAUUCGAACGACUAGAAAAAUGGUGAGCACAGCUGGUUAUGAAAAAGUGUAACUCUGAGAUACUUUUGUGAAAAUUCUCAAAAUUAUUUGUAAUAUUAAAGCAGAAUUAGAGAGAUCUUCCACACACUAUAAUUUAAGGCAUUAUUUUAAUAGUCUAUAUGUUCUUUUUAUUGUCAGGGUUAUUCAUUACCUAUAUAUUUAUAUAUAAAACCUAAUUGUAAAUUAAUAGCAAUGAAAUGUUAUACAUGCAUAAGGGAAUGAAUUAUGGUUACUAAGGGAAACCUUAAUUUAAAUUUUCUUGUUUCAUUAUAUGAAAAUCUCAACUCUAACAAUUUAUUCAUAUAAAAUUUUAUUUUAAAUUCACACACAUUAAUUAUAUUGAAUUAAAUUGUAGAGAUCAUUACCUAGUCUUAUUUCUGCUAAUGUUUCUCCUUACUGCUUAUAAAGAAUUCUGCAUCUAAAAUUCAGUAUAUUAAUUAACCAAUGCUUAUCAAAUAGAUCUACAAGUAAAGCACCGCAUUAAAAGCUUUAUGCAAGGAAGCAAAAAUAAGGUAAAGCCCUAAUGUUUAAGGAGCAUAAAAUCUAGUUGUAGAGAUAAAAUAUGCACGGCAAGAUUUGUAUGGCAGUAGAAUCACUGUGUAACUAAUAUUAGCAAAGUUGACCAGAUAAAAGUUACAGCAGUUCAAAAGUGAAACAUGUCUUAUAAACUGGACUACCCUGAAAAAGUGGAAGGCUUGACUCACAGGUUCAAGAUAGGCUUUAUAUUGGCAGGGAGGGCAUUUCAACAUGGUGCAUUGGUAUGUGCAAAAUAGAGUGAUAGCAAUAUUGGAGUAAAUAGCACAGGGAUUCUUCUCAACUGGGCAUCAGAGCCUAUGGCUUAAUGAAGAAAUGAACUCCUUUUCUGUGUUAGUCGUUCUUCAAAUAUGGGGCAAUCUCUGUGCUUCUGGUCUUUGCACUGGUUCUCUAGUCCCCCUACCUGUGUCCCUGUAAUUAUUUGCUGACUCACUUUGUUUUUUUCGAUGUUGUUGUUGUUGUUGUUUUUGCUGCAAAUGACAAGAUUUCAUUCUCUAUUAUGUCUAACUAAUAUUUAACAGUGUGUAUAUACCACAUUUUAAAAAUUUAUGUAUCCAUUGAUGGGCGCUUAGGUGAAUCUCUGUUGUCUUUUGUGCCAUCCCUUUAGGAUCUACCAGUCUGUCUUCAUUUUUACUUAUUUGCUGGCAGAUGACAAGAAUUGAUUCCCCAGAUCAAAUUUCAGAAAUCUCCCAACAAGAAAAUAUCAUGUUAACGGUUUGAUGUAGUACCUCACACACACACACGUAUCUAUAUGCACACACCACAAAUAUCAUUGUUAACAGUUUGAUGUAGUACCAUACACACAUCUAUAUGCACAUACCACUUUUUUAAAUAAUAAAAUUCGGUUGUUACUUUUAACAAUUUUUUUUCCACAUAAUAAGCUUCCUCCUGGCAUGUUUAUUCUUUGCUUGUGAAUGAGGCUUCUCAAACUUUGGUUUCCUAAUCUGCAAAAUGGGGCCAGUAAUAGCUCACAAGUUUGUUUUAAGAAUUGAAUUGAAUGAGAUGACACUUGGAAAAAGCUUCAAGCACAGUCUCUGGGCCUCAGUACCUUCGCAUGAGUUAUUAUGUCUCUAAAUUUCCAAUUGCUGAGCUCUGACCUAUAUGGAUAUGUUCCAUGUCUUCCUCUUAGAUUCUUUUUGCAAGACAUUUGCCUGAGGAAUGACUAGAAGUUGCCAAACCCAUUUGUUCACUGAUUCAUACUCUCACGUAACCUCAGGCUGUCAUUUUCAGAUCAUACACACCCACAUACCACAUCUCUAUUCAUUCAUUUAUUAUAGGAACAGGGUUUUGCUAUGUUGCACAGGCUGAUCUCAAAAUCCUGGUCUCAAGCCAUCCUCCCUCCUUGGCCUCCCAAAUUUCUGGUGUUACAGGUGUGAGCCACUAUGUCUGGCCCACAUCUCUCUUUCUGAAUAAAAAAUUCCAAUUUUUUGAAUAUGUUUUCUAAGACACGGUAACAUCAUGGGUAUUGUGAGCAUGGACAUUGAAGUGAAUUGAAAGAUGAAGUCAUAAUUUAAAAUUCAGAACUGGGCAAUGACACAUAUGGAAAAAAAGACAUUCCAAGGAGGGCUUGUUUUUUGGGAAGUAGGAAAUAUGCGUAAUGGAAAUAUAAGGUUGGUUCUAGAUAUAUUUUACUUGCUAUUCCAUCAGGCCAUCACAGUGGAAACAUUAAGAAGACAUGUGAAAAUAAACCCAGAGCUCAGAGAAGAGGACUGCAGAAGGCAUGUCUGUAAUUUAGGAAUUACUUACACACAUUCCAUGGGACAAAUCAUGAUAAUGUAUGAAUUCUCAAAAUUUGAUAUGAAAAACAUGAUACAUCCUUGGAUAUUUCCAUAGUCAGUUGUAAGUAAUCUUGAAUUUGUGUCUGUUUUUACACUUGCUGCACAGUUUGGAUAUAGUACUCACUUUCCUCAUUGAGGACUUGGGAAAAAUCUAAGACUGUCCUCCUCUUUCAAGGAAAAAUAGUAUAGAACGUGACUGAACCAGGCACUGAGGCAUGAGUCACAGAAGGCCUAUGGAAUAUAAAGGAUUAAUAUUCAAUGAGUACUUACCAUGUGCUAUACACCCCUCUAUUAUUUCCAAUGUACUUGCUCAUUUAAUCCUAACGAAAAUUGUGUGAGUCAUGCUGUCAUUAGCGUCAUUUUACAGAUGAGGAUGCCGGAGCACAGGGAACUUCAUACACAUUCCAGGGUCCCUACGGUGAGUGGCAUGAGAUCCUGGCCGGCCUGACUCCAAAUCUGAGCUCUGAACCCUUACUGACUCUAAAACAGUAAAACUACAUGUGAAAUGUCUGUGUUAGGAAAAUGGAGAAGGAAAUCAACAAUCAAAGUAAAAUCAGUGUCCUGGGCAGUACAUUGCCUUAGAAGAAUAAAAGAACAUUUCCACUGAUAUGGUCCUUAGGGUAAUGAUUUUGUAUCCCAGGGAGAACAUUAGGCAAAAAAGCAAAAUUAGGAAUGUUAAGAGCAGUUUGCAUUCUAGAUAUCAGUGAAGCUGCCUAAGGAAAGACGAUUCGUUUUUCACAGAGUAUCUUUGUACUUUGAGUCAAAUGAAAUAAUUGACCACAGGGUUUAAAAAAAACUAUAGCAGUAGUUUAAUGAUAUUUUAAUGAUAAUAAUAAAUAUACUAAGAUAUAUUAAACACUGAAUAAUGUAGGCAGUUUAUCAGCUGGUUAUACAUACUGCAUGUUUCUUAACCAUACAUUGCAUACCUUAAGGGUAACAAACCUGUCUUAGGCUUUUCUUUGAUUUUGAUAAUGUCAGACAUAUUGCUCAUUCUAUAGUGGAUGCUCACUGACUUUGUUAAUUGAUUGACUAUUUGGAUAACAUAGUUCUUUUACUAUUUUUAAAGACUCUGUGAAUGGAAUAUAAUUUUAUUUUGCUUACAAAUACUUUGUAGUACAAAUAUUUUGUAUCUAAUACAAUGCUGCAAAUAUUAAGAAAGUCUUUCUAUGAUUCUUUGAGUUAUUCAUUCAUUCAUUUAUUCUUCCAUUCAUUCAACAUAUACUACAUGCACCAAAUCUCAUCUUCUGUCACCUAUGCAAGGAGAUCAGCGUGCAACUCUCUGCUGUCAUUGUUUCAUUUUCUUCUCUGCUCUGUUAUGUCUUUCUCACCAGCUGUUAUUUCUUACAUACAUAACAAGUAUUUUCUUAGCCCCACUUUCCCCUCCAGUUACUGCCCCAUAUCUUCAUUCCUCUUUUCAGCAGAACGCCUUGCCUGAGUUCUCUUAGCCAUGAUCAUCCAUUACCUUGCUGUCAGUUUCUAUUUGGUGCACGUCAAUCAGAUUUUGCCACACCGAUCUCUACAAAUUGCGAAUGUAAAGAAGCACUAACAACUGCAACACUGCCAAGUCUAAAUGUCACUUCUUGGUCCACAUCUUAAUUGCCCCAUCUGGAGCAUUUGACCUGGUUGUUUCAUCCUAUCUCACUGGUCAUUCCUGCUAGGUCUCCUUAAAAGAUUUUCCGCUUCUGACAUGUGGAUGUUGGAGCGCACCAGGGCUCCAUCCUUGGAACUCAUGACACUGGAAAUCUAACCAGUCUCGUGAAAGAACUAUCUCAACAUUUCAAAAGAAAAGAACUGUUUUAGGUCCAACUAAAACUGAAAGUAGAAGCUCUUUUAUAGGAGAAAAGAUUCCUCACUUGAUCUCAAAGAGAACUUUUGAAAAGAAGGAGGGUAUAGAGAGUAGCCUGUCUGAGAGAUGAGAAAUUUGAUAAAAGAGUGAUCUCAGGAAUCCACCCCAUACAUCAGCCUCAGUAUGGAAAUGAGCCUGAGCUGGCAGGAAAGGACAAGUGCAGCUUGGAAGGGAGAGUCUGCUCAAAUAACUGUGUCUCUUCAGACUUAGAUUUGUCAAAUAAAUCUUAGUAUAGUUUCUAGGCUCAUAAACUUGGCAAAACCAAACGUUCUACAAGUUUAUAUUUGUGUGUGUACGUGUGUGUGUGUGUGGAGAGAGAGAGAGAUGUAAUCUGUAGACAUAGGCAUGGUGAGGUAAAUAAAUUGACUAUAGCACAUAGAAUAGUUAUCACAUGAUGGGUAUUUGAUGAAUUGGCUCAUCUGUUCUAUAAAACAGGGGUCCUCAACUCCCAGGCUGUGGACCUGUACCAGUCCUUGGCCUGUUAGGAACCAGGCUGCACAGCAGGAGGUGAGCGAGCAUUACUGCCUGAGCUCUGCCUUCUGUCAGAUCAGCAUCAGCAUUAGGUUCUCAUAGGAGCACGAACACUAUUGUGAACUGUGCAUGUGAGGGAUCUAGGUUGAGUGUUCCUAUGAGACUCUAAUGCCUGAAGAUAUGAGGUGGAACAGUUUCAUCUCAAAAUCAUUGCCCGAACCACCACCACCACCCACCCCAUCUGUGGAAAAAUUGUUUUCCAUGAAAUCAGUCUCUGGUGCCAAAAAGAUUGGGGACCAAAGCUAUAAAAUAUGAAUUCCACUCAUUCUUAUAAUUUCUAAAUUGAACUUUCCAGAAUGCUCUGUUUAAGACAAACAACCCAAAAGCACUUUAAACUUCUACAGCUAAAUGCAAGAAUUAUUAUCCCUUUGAGCUACUCUAAACGUUAAUCUCUACUAAACACUAAUUCAUAGUUUAAUUACACCAGAUAGACAUUCUUUAAAACUUGACUACUUUGAGCUUAGUUUCAGAGUAAUGUAGAGAAUGCAAUGGAAAGAAUCAUUUAACUGGAAAAAAAAUUAUUUUUAUUUGGGAGCUGAUAAUGCUCCCUGUCUUUCUGCUUCUUCAGAUGCUUUGGCAAAGUGUUCAAAAUAUAUAGUAUAACGUAACUAGCUUAAUUUUAUCAAUUACCUUUAUUAAACUAAAUAUAAAGACUUAGGUCUUCAAAAAGUGCAUGGGUGGGAAAAUCCACCUGCUCACACAACUGUGGAUGGGGACUCUGCAUCCCUGGGUGGGUCCCAAGUUGUUUUGUUUAUUUUUUUUAAGAAUGUUCAUAUUAAUCCCUAAUAGCAAUUAUAUCAUCAUUACCAUUCUCUCUUCUGUCUCUCACUUUCUCUUUCCCUCUUUCUCCAUACUUUCUCCCUCCCUCUGUCCUUCUUCCACAUCUGUUUCUUUUAAACAUUACAUCGAUUCCCUCGCGAAUCUGAACUUACAUACUGAGAACUUCACAAAAAGAAAGGGAAAGUGAGAGUUCUCCCCAGAUCUGGUAGAAAAAUUCCAGGAACGACACAAAUUGAUCUGCUUAGGGGAGGAAUACCCUGGCCUGAACACAGUGGCAAGGUAUGUAUGAUGCCACCACAGUGGCCACAGUGGUGAAGCGCUGUGAAUAUAAGCUCUUACUGGAGCCUUGAGUUUGAGCAGGAAUGAAUAUUUCUAGUCAACUUCAUUCAACUCCCUAGUCCCUCAAUUGCUUAAUUUUUUUUUUUUUUUUUUUUUUUGUCUAUCAUGCCCACCGGAACCCUUCACACCCUUCACAGUGUGGGGUCCAUAUUUGAUCGUCACAACUACAUUUUGACCACAAUCUAUGAUGCCAUCAACAUGGCAUUGGUAACAACAUCUACUUUUCACAUUCUUACACCCAGACACAGGAAUCCAUCUGGAGAAAAUCAUGCAGUUAUGCACUUGGGAACCAUUACACCUUCAUUGUCUCUAGUUUCAGCCAGACAUUUGUCAAUGCUCCCCAAGCUUCUCAUUGUCAUUUGUCAGCUCAUGCACUCCCUCUGCCUACUGCUACCUCAAACCUUCCCCAGUCUUCUGAAAUUCAGAUCUCUUGGCCUUGGCAGAUGAUAUUUUCCUUCAUUUAUUGAAAACAUUUCAAGCAUCUGGCAUAGGGCUCCUACCUCACUUGACAGCCCUCUGUCCCCAAUAAUAUUUACAAAUAUAUGCCUGUCUGUGCUUUUCUUAUCUAUUUCCUUUUAGAUUCAGAGGACAAAAUCUCCUUCAAAGCCAAGUCAGUCACUCAAACUAUUAACACAUGCCUCAUCUACUAACUCCAACUUAGCCCUGUCCAUCCCCGUUUUUUCUGGUGUCAUGAGCUGCUCCCUGUUCUAAGAACAUUUUCUCCUCUAAACAAUAACUCUGCAAUAUGUAAAAACAGAACUACCACUCCCUGGCAGGUACCUGCAUAUACUCACACACCUUACACACACAUAAAGCUCCCCUUGGACCAUGCUUCUCACUUUAGGGUCCCUGCUGGUUACUUUCAUGGAAUUUUUUGGAAAAGCAAUUUUCAUUCACUGUCUCUAACCCUUCAACCUGAAUCCCUGCUCAACCUGUUACCUUCUGGCUUAUACGCUUAGUCCACACAAUUAUUUUAGUAAGGUUUUAACCUAUUUGUCAAAUGCAUGGGCAAUUUCAGUUGUUUUGCUAGACUUCCUUUUAACGUUUAUCUCUGUUAGCCAAUCUUGUCUUCAAACCCCCGUUCCCAUGGCUUCUGUGACACCACACUCUCCACUAGCACCUCUACCUAUUCUUUUCUGUCUUUUUAAGACCUCUCAUUUCUUUUGCCCUUAAAAUAUUAUUGCUCUAUAUUUUUGUGAUUCUAUUACUGUCAUAUUGAUCUUCUCAACCAUCGUACUGUGUCUGAAAUCAGACUGGUACUGUAAUAUCUUGGGUGUUUCCACAUGGAUGCCUUCCUCCAUAGUCAAUGGAAUUUCCAAAAUUGAACCUAUCAUCUUCUUUUUUUUUCUAAACUGAUAACAUCUUCUAUUUUUCUCUUUUUCAGUUAUGGUACUAAUAGCUACAUGAAAUUCCUGGUAGUAUUAAUUAUAGUACCUAGUUGACAUUUAUUGAGUUCAUAGUAGUAUGUGCCGAGCACUAUGCUAGGUACUUUACAUGAAAUAUCUCAACUAAUCUUAACAGUCCUGUACAGCACACAGCACUCUACUACAAUUAUGUAGUUUUGGAACUAAGAUUUAAGUGUGUUUAAUAAUUUGCCAAAAGUCACUUAGGAAGUGUGGAGGUGGGGUGCUCAUUUUGGAGACAUGCUGAACAACUAUGGCAGACAAUCUGAGCAUCAUCUUUGACUUCUCUCUCUCUCUCCAUUCCAAAUAGCACCACAUCUUGUCAUUUUACUCCCCAUAUAUUAUAGUUGCAACUAUAUCCUUAACCUUCUCUGAACUGUACUUCUCAAAUAUAUCUUUCCAGCAGUUUCCAGUAAUUAGAUAAUAAAAUUUCCAAACACACAAAUCUGGGGGCAUUUCCACAUGCUCAAGAUAUCUUGAUGUUUCCAUGGCUUAUCAGAUAAAUCUCACCUUCCUAAAUAUAAUUUUCAUGGUCCUGUUGAUUAAACCUUGGUACACAUACAUCUCCAGCCUCAUUCUCCAUGGCUUCUUUUGUCUGGAUUUCCAUUUUUCUUUAGUAAUGCAGACUGCUUGUGGCUCCCCUUAUAGGCCAUUCUAUCACUCAGUUCUGUGCCUUUGUUCUUGCUGUCAUGUCUGCUUGGAAGACUUCAUUCCAGCCUCUUCCCACUGAAUGCAAAUACCUGUCUCUGUCCCCUGCCGGUCAAUUACUUGUUGAGUACUUUCUCGUUCUGAUACCUCACUGCCUCUAGUAAGCCUUUUCUUGACUUCCAGAACAAAAUAAAAGACUCUUUUCUUUAUUUCAUCACUAACAUUUUCAUAUUUCCAUUUUUAAAAACUUGCAGCUUUGUUUUAUAAUUAUCUAUUUCUAUCUAGACAGGACCUCUUGAAGUCAGGCUCUACAUUCUCUUUAUAUUCUUAUUGCCAGGCACCAGAGCACCCUGUUUGCUAAGGGAAUUUUUAAAUUUAUCUUCAAGUAAUAAGUGAACUUUGAGUCAGAUCUUGAUUAAUGUGUUUAGAAAUAGGUGGAAUAAAGAAGAUGAAACAUAUUAGAGCUUAUGCUUGACUAUCGUUGGUAUUAUAUUAUUUGAAUAUUAGAUCUAACUUUGCAUUAAUACUAUAUGUUUUUACACUGUGCAUUUUAUCAUAUCUUUUAUGAACCACUCAUAUAUUUAGAAGAUGAAACAAUGGAUUAGGUAUGGAAACAAAAUUGUGUCAUAAAAUUAGUUAAUUUUGUGAUUAAUUAUAAAGUACUUUAAAAACAGCAAUGGGUGGGAUGGCGUCUGUGGUUGGCAAUAGACAUGCUGUGGAUAAUUUAUUAUUAAAGGCCUUUAAAAUUUUAAAAACCCAAUUAAAAAAAACUUAUAAUUGAAGAGUAGGGAAUUCUUCUUUAAAAAGCAGCAAUAAGAUUAAGCCACAUUAUGCAACCUCUGGGCAAAUGCUGAUCUCAUAAUAAUAAAGUAUUUGCCUAUUUUUUGUGUGAGUUAAAUACCAUUGAAACCGCUGAACUUGAUAACACCUCAGGCUAUCAUCAUGUUAGGUUUCUAUAUAUAAUAAAGAGUGGGAGACAUAUAGGGGGGAAACCGCAGAAAUGAGAAAACAAUUUAGAAUGGUUUUUUAAAAAAUUGUUUUUGUUUUUUUCCUGAGACCAUUAACCUGUCAAUGGCACUAUCAUAUGAAUUAGUUUAUUCCUAACUAGAUGAUGUUCUUAGGACUAAUUGUCACUCAUUUCUAAGCCUGCCCAAUUUUACACCCACAUUAGAUAGUACAGUCAAAGGCGCUUAGAUCAUAUGAAAUACACUUCCCAAAGAAAUAUAUCCUCCAGCUUUUGCACACGGGCUUUCUUGUGAAUUCCUGAAUUAAAUGAUGAUAGCUUCCAAAUAUCACCUUGUUCGUAUCUCCUUUCUAAAAUAACAACUAAAGAUUGCUCUUCUAUGUUAAAACUAACUGUUAAAAUAGUUUUCUGCUGUGCAGUUAUACAGAGAUUGGGUAAAAAAAAUUGGCUUAAGAAAAAAAGAUGGGAAAGCAGAAGUAUAGAGCAGUACAGGAAAAUCAUCACCCUUCAAAUGACCAUAUGUGUUUUUAUUUGAAGAUAAAAUAUGUUUCUUGAUAUACAGAUUUUACAGCCAAAUUAAUUAAAUUCUGAUAUGUUAUUCUGCAUUUGAGUUUUUGUUAUGAUUUAUCUACCAUUAUUCGUUAUGACAUUUAAUAGAUACUUUUAAAUAGCUUUUCUCUGUUGACAUUCUUGUUUGUUGAUUACCUGGAGGAAUAUUUUAUAAUUUAUAUAAUUUUUAAAAUUGCAAAAUUCUUAAAAUUGGUAAAGUUGAACUGAUUGGAUGAUUGUAAAAUGUCUCUAUGCAUUUCUAAUAGUUCUUUUGGCAUUGUUAAUAGUUUUAUUUUGUCUGAUGAACCUUACCAGUAAAAGAAAAUGUUAAGGAAGAUAUUUCAAACUGCUUUGAUUGGUGGGAUAAAAUAUCCUGAUGCAGUGGGAAGAAGAACUCUUUGAGGGAAUAAACAGUUUGGAGGAGAAUGUGCUGUUACUUCCAGAAAAAAACCUAUUUUCCCUGGAAAAAAAUAAAAUCCAUAGAAAGUGCCCUUGGAGGCAUGGCAAAUGAAUGAAGACUUGGUUAUGUUAAAGCAGCUUCAUUCUGAGAUGGAAAAAGUGACUCUUUCAAUCUUAAUUCUCUGGUUAGAGUCUAAUAGAAUUUUUGGUCUUGUCUCUGUGCCUAUUCUGAGGCCCUUAGAGUCCUUAAAAGGUGAAUGAAUUAAAAAAUAUGAAGGAUGUUUGUCCAUUAAAUGCCAUAAUGUCUCUAUUAUUUACCUAUUUCUUUGUAACAAUAGGAAACUUGUUGAUGGUAGAAGUUGUUCAGCACUCAUACACACAUCGUUUUCUGCAUUACUCUAAUUGUUUACUUUGCAAUUUAAAUGCUAGCAGGGAACACCAAACAUUUUGCUAAAUUCCCCAUUGCUGAAAUGAAGUUUAAUAGCCAAAAAAUUGCUAUUGUAUGUAUUGCUAUUGUGUGUGUGUAUAUAUAUAUAUGUGUGUGUGCAUGUGUGUGUAUAUACACAUACAUAUACCUAUAUUUCCAAAUUUGUUGUGUAAGUAUAUUUCUUCGACUAGCAAAUUUCAGAUUACAGGUACUAAUGAGAGUCAGAUCAAACAAAUUUAAAAUGUAUUGGCAAAAUUCAUUUAAGCUUUUAUAAUAAAACUUAAUUAAAUCAUGUUUUAUUAAUUUACUAUUUGUAGUAAUUUAUUAGUGCUAAAAUGAGGUUCACUUUUGUAUAAGAAAAAUAAAUAAUUUUACUAACAUGAUAGAAUAGAAAUACAAAACACAUAUUCAAAGAAAAAACGACAGAGCUAGAUUCCAUCCCCCCCCCAAAAAAAAAAAAAAACACAUUUGAAGGCAAAAAUCACAUUGCAGGAAUUAAUUCACAAUUUAUAGACAAAAGUACUAUGCUAAUUAAAAUGUAUAUAUUAGAUUUUACUUUACUAGGCAACAUAUUAUGAUUUAUAUUAUUUCAAAUGUUAUUUUUAAUGCCUUAAUGUUAUUUUCAAUAAUACUUAUAUUUAUUUAAAAUAUUAUAUAAUUUCAUCUGUUUCUCUCAGAUUAAUCUCUCUCAGUUAGUAGAGAAUUGACUAAUGUUGUCUUUACUUCUCAUCAAACUUUUAUGAGAUCUGAAAGAAAUGAUGCAUGCGUUAUUAUUAUUUUCACAUUUUUGCUACCCUUUUUAAUUUUGGAGAUAUAAGCAGAAAGAAUUAUCAAAUAGACAACAAGAUAAAGGGAAAAUAAUGAUUUGAAGUAUUAUUGUAAAAUCAAUUCCAGAAUAAUUAGGUUCUGUUGCAGCUGAUGCAAAAUUUUACUGAAAUCGUGUUCAUAUCUAUCAUCUAGGAAGUGCUAAAUAUCUGUAACCACUUGAUUACUUUGAGGGAAAUUAAAUUUUCCAUCAACAUAUCCCCUAAUACUACUACUCCUGUCCAGAUGAUGAAAGGAUCAACAGGAAUCCUCAAUACGUAGAUCUUCAUUUUAUCUUCCUUGGAGCUCUUGUGGUUUAAAGGACCCCAACUUUUGCUACCCAUUUUCUUUCUUAUCCUUCCUCAGUCUCUGAGCUUGUUGUAUUUGGCUACAUACUGACCAAGUUAUCUGCAUGUCUCAAAGACAUCUCAACAAAACCUGCAUUUAUGUAUGCACUUAUUUAUUGUUAAAGUGCAUCAUCUUUCUGGAGACAAACUAACUUCCCCUCCAAACUUUCCUCUUGCUGUAUUGAGUGAAGUUUGCUGCUGGUGGGAAUGCCACAGGGAUGCAAACAACACAAGAGUUCAUAGCCCUGCCCCACUCACAGGAGUCUCGCUGUCCAGCCUUAGAGCUUUUCCAGAUCUGUCUUCUAAGCCUAGGAGAAUUCCUUGGAAUUUCCAGUCUUAGUUCAUGAAAUAAUCUCUGAACUGAUUUCCCAGGUUCAAAGUUUGAUCCCCUCUAUCCCAUAUUUCAUGAUUCAAAAGCCAUCGAAGUUUUAAAUCAAAGAUAAAUUACACUCCCUCAUUUUCUGUCCCUAUGAUUUAGCCCAAUCUAUUUAUUUUAUCAUCCUUUCUUUCUUAAAACUGUUGCUGUCAAAUCAACUCUAUUACCAUUUCACAAACACGCUAGGCUUUUAGUCACCAUGUUAUCUGAUUCUGUUGCAGUGGUCUUAUUCCUCUUCACUACCUGGACAAUUCACCCAGCUUUUAACUCCCCCUGAAGUUCUACUUACUCUUCGACAACUUUGUGCCUUUGGUGAUCAUUUACCUUUAUCUUUCCUGUGGUUUUACAACACAUUAGGAGCCUCUUCCCCACUCCUUCCCACCAUAGCCAGUCUUAGUGAUUUGUCUGCAUUCUGUUGCUUGCUCGGUUCAGAUGGAUAAAAUCUUACUGAUUUUCAUUUCUGUGAUGACAAACUGAAGACUUCCUAUUAGGCCUCACAGGGGUCUUUUCUGCGUGACCUCCUCUUGCUGCAGUAUCAGUAUCUCCCAGCCGUACUCUGUACAGCCAUAUUCUAGUCAGGCUAAAAUCUUAACAACCCCACAACGAUUCUCGGUUUCUUCAAGCUCCUAGGAAUUUGCAUAUGCUGAUUCUUCCACCUGGAACACUCUUUUCUCACAACCCCAAUAUCCUCACCACCAUCUAGUGUAUACUUUAAAUAGCCGAGACUUAGACUAUGACUUCACUCAUACAGCCCUUGCUUAUCAGGCACACAGGGGCAGGGACAUCUCCUGUACUCUCAUAGUACCCUGUAAUUGUCCUCUCUGAGUGCUCACCAUUGUGAUGUAACUGUUUUUUAUCCCUCCUCUUAAAUGUGUAGUGAUAAGGGUAUUAUGUCAAUCCUAACAACAUUUUAUUCCCAGCAUGUUUUUUGAAACCACGGAAAUUAAAGUGUAGGGUUUUUUUUUUCCCAUAUGUAGAUUUCAAGUUUUCUGUGGACCUAAAUCAUGUCUUUUAAUGAUAUUGUAUUUCAUAAACUUUCUAAAAAUGUGCUGAGUAGAUGUGCUGUUUACUUUCAUGGAAGAAUGUGGUAAUAAUUAAAUAUUUAUUCUGAAAUGCUUUUUUUACAUUCAUGGUAUUUGAACAAAACAUAUUCUUAUAAUUCUAAUGGAUACAUUUAUUUGCAGUUAAAAAUAUCAUUUAAGAAUACAAAAAAUAAAGCUUAAGAGAACAAAUGUUCAUGGUUUUCAACUUUAACAUAUGAAACAUUUUGAGAAAAACACAUUAUUAUCAACUGUAUGUAUGUACAUCUAUAUGACAUUUUUCAUACUUUCCACAAAAUUUUCAUGAAGUAUUUAUAUAGGCUUCUCUUUAAUCUUACAUUGUUUAGAAGCAUGUCUGCAUUUAGUUUAAAAUUCAUAUCUUAAAUGUCUUAGGACCUAAAUAAUGACUUAGCUUUUCAGAAAAAUCUUAGAUGGUAUAGUGAUCAUUCAGCCUUUGUUAACCUGAUUUUUAAUUUAGGUUCUACUCCAAGUUAACCUUAUGCCCUUGGAAAAGUUCAUAUGGCUUUCCUCACUUUCAUUCUUGUCAUUUGUAAUAUAUGGGUAAUAGGCUGUAUUAUUUUUAAAAUCUUUUUCAACUUCUAAAGUCCAUGAUUAUUUUAUUCAAAAGCUAGGUAUGAACUCACACAUCAGAUUUAAGUCUACACUUUAAAUUUCCCCCCUUUUCUGUUUCCAUUGUUGAAAUUAGAACAGUCAUAAAGCUCAUCACUAAACUGAACACAAAUUUAUUUCUUAAGACAAUUCAAAAUACAAGGAGGCUCUGACUGCUAUUUCACUGUAAUUCAAAUUAUUUAGCUAUUAUAGAUAAUGGAAAGGUUGACAUAAACUAGGCAAAGAGAAAAAAUAUGGUUGAAAGUCACAUAUUCCAUGUCCUCUUUUGUAAUAUACGGGGAUUUUGAUUCAAGAAACAGAAAUAAGGUACUUAAUGUACACUUCGUGUUAAAGGAGUUUAUUAUGAAAUAUGUUGGAUUUUAAUAGGAGAAUGCAUUGUAGUAAUACAUCAGUUUAGCAAAUAUGUAUGGACUUUAAAUGGGUUCGAACAUCCGUUUCUUUUCUAUCUUGAAAAUGUUUUGUUUGUCAUGAUUUAGAUUUCUCUUCAGCACACGUUAAUUGAUAUGUGCCAUGCGAAUAUUACGUUGUCAUAAUUUAGAUUUCUAUUUGGCACACAUUAAUUGGGUGCAUCAUAUGUGUGAUGCAGCCACUGCCAUGCACUGUGGGAAACAUGCAUAAUUCAAUGGUGCAUAAACAGACAUGGCUGUUGACAGAAUGGUUGGAGGCCACAGGGUCACCAAAACAGGCUCUGUGUGCAUGUCCAGCGUGUGCUCCAGGAAAUAGUUUGUGGCCGAAGUGGCUCUUACACAUUUGAAGUGGGUAAGAUUUAUGGAAGGAUACUUUACCUCCUGAUAUGGUUUGGCUGUGUCCCCACCCAAAUCUCAGCUUGAAUUGGAUCUCCUAGAAUUCCCACGUGUUGUGAGAGGGACCCAGGGGGAGGUAAAUGAAUCAUGUGGGCCGGUCUUUCCCAUGCCAUUCUCGUGGUAGUGAAUAAGUCUCAUGAGAUCUGAUGGGUUUAUCGGGGUUUCUGCUUUUGCUUCGUCCUCAUUUUUCUCUUGCCGCUGCCAUGUAAGAAGUGGCUUUCACCUCCCACCAUGAUUCUGAGGCCUCCCCAGCCAUGUGGAACUAUAAGUCCAAUUAAACUUCUUUUUGUUCCCAGUUUCAGGUAUGUCUUUAUCACCAGCAUGAAAACGAACUAAUUCACCUCCCUUCAGAAAUAUUUCAGCCCAAAAUACUUUGAGGAAAGGCUAGACAUAGUGGCUCACACCAGGCCAGGAGUUCAAGACUAGCCUGGGUAACACAGUGAGACCCUGUCUCUAGAAAAUUAAAUGAAAGAAUUAGCCAGGUGUGGUGGUGGUGCAUGUCUGUAGUCCCAGCUACACAGGAGACUGAAGUUGGAGGAUUGUUUGAGCCCAGGAGGUUGAAGAUACAGUGAGCUAUGAUCGCAACACUGCACUCCAGCCUAGGCAACAGAGUGAGACCUCAUCUGUAAAAGAAAAAAGAAAAAAAAAAAAAACAUAAGGUUUCUCCCAUGCUACCUAUCUGCCUUAGGAGACCUGGGUGAAAUAAUUUCAUUUUUUAAACUCAUCGUUGUCAACUACACCUAAAAUCCAACUUGGUGUAGUGACUGGUCAUCACAAGUGGAUCUAAUCACCUGUAUAUACUAAUUCUUUGUUUUAUAAAAAUUGUUCUUACUUGCUCUGUCAAGGGCACCCUGCCUAAACAAUUCCCUCUAAGUUUGAAUCUUAGGAGGGAGAAAUGUGGGAAUUUGAAGCUUUCCUUCUGGAUAGGCCCAUGGACUUGUUAAGCACAUUCCUUCAUCUCCUUCCUAGCAGCAUUUAACCUCUAGAUAUCAGUAGUUUUAGUGAAAAAAAAAAAAAAAAAAAAGGAAAAGAGAGUUCAUUAUGAGCCAGUUGGUUACAUGAGCUUCCACUUCCCAUUAUACAAAUAUUUCCUUUGCUUUUGAUUCUCUUUAUUCAAGCUUUGUCCUGGUUGAAUAACAGAUAUUUUGCUGGAGAAAAUGGAAUAUGUUACUUACAUGAAUUAUGACAUUUUUUCUUAUGGUAAGAAGUGAAGGAGCUAGGAGGCAGAAGAGUGGAAGAAAGGAAAGAAAUGACAGGGCAAGGAAAAAUAAAAGAUAAAAUGCCCAAAUGCAUACAUAAAUAAAAAGGCCAGGAAGGGUACUGCACUUAAUGUUCAUAUUAACUGAAGGGUAAAGUAGGGAAGAGUCUUCUCCACUGUUCAUCUACCCCACAUACUAACAAGAGGGAGUUUCCAGCAAAUAGCUGGCAGCAUGUUCAGUACUUUGACUAACGUCUGGAGACAGUUCCAUAAAGCAGUUUUCCCUUUUCAGAAACACCAAUGCACUGAGAUUAAAUGAGAGAUAUUGCAGCUUUCACUCUUGUUCUGCCAACCGCAGGCUUGACCUUGAUGCCUUUGCAAUCAUCUCUACAGCCACAGAGUGGGAAACGAUACCUGGGGUAUGCUCUCUCAUUGACUCCAAGAGCUUCCAAACACAAAUUUUACACAGGUAGUUUAAAUGUAAUGAUGAAUGCUUCAGUCAAUAGAUCAUAAUUUCAUAGUAGUUGAUCUGUUUUACUUUAUAUUUAAAGAAAAUAAAUAACUUUGGGGCCAACCCCUAGCUUGUAUUCAGGGAAGGAUACAGCACAAAGGAAUAAAAGAAUUUAGUGUUGUGAAAGAUUUUCUGUCAAACAAAAAGAUAUUUCUAAAAUUAGUAAUUUUCAGAGUAGAGUGUUUUAAUAAAAAUAUAAACACAAAUCAAAAUUUAAUUGUUUCUUUAUACUCUUUCCAAAAUAUGAGCAAUAUUUCAUGCUCUGAGGGUAAAUAUUUCAUUUUAACUAUAGCUGACUUGCCAAAUAUUCAGAAACCUUAUUCCUGUUCUAUGAAAGAUCUCAAAGUUAAAUUAGUUCACGUCACUUUUACAGACUAUAACUUAAACCUUUAAAACACAUUUUUUUCCUCAGCCUGAUUAUAGCAUAUUUUCUUCUCAACUUAAUUUUAAAUGACAUAUUCCAUUGUAAACUAGCUACAAUUAAGGACAAAAAUAUUUUAAGUAACUAACUGAUAUAUAUAUGUUUUUGUUUUAAUAAGCCCAAAUCAAUCAAGGUGUUUAACUCACUUAUAUUUCUACUAAGGUAUCACUAGUAUCACUAGGAUAUAUGGGUACAUUGAAGAUAUGGUAGUACAUAAAAAUUUUUAAAACUAAAAAAAAAUUUAGUGAAAAAUGUUUAUCUCCUAUUUGUAUAAAAAGUGUUUUUCCAGUAUUUUUUAAAUCCAAAUGUUCAAAUUAAGAUAAUGUGAACAAUGAAUAAAAUGGACAAAAAAUAUUAUCUGUUUUUCCUAGGCCCAAUGAAAUAUUUUUUAUUUGAAAUUUUAGCAUUUUUUAACUAGGUUUAUAAACUAGUAAGAAACACACACAAGACAAAACAGAGCAGGAUUUGUGGUCACAGCAUCUUUUCUUCUACAAAUAUUUAAUUAUUCUUAAAAUAAGGGAACCACAUUCUUUCAGAGUAAUUAUAGACUUGUAAAAGUAAUGUAAUGUAACUUGUAAUGUAACCAAUAUCUGAGAGUAUUUUCCAUCAGAUAGAAAGUAGAGAUUCUCUUAAGAAAGUUACAAAAAAAGGUUCUAAGAUUUCAGAGGAGGUAAAUUAUUGAGUUUUACAGCCUGAUACAAUUUUAGAGCUAAUCAGCUAAUCUUAUCUUUUAUUUUAUAUUUUACAAAAUGUAGGUCAAAAAGUAAUUUUUUUUCAAAAAAGUGUUGACUGUAUGAAAAUUUUACUAAUUUGUUUUAAUGAGAAGAAAGAAUGAGAGAAGUAUCCUGCAAUAGUAGGAAAUCUGAGAUGGGAAGACCAGGCUUAGACCUUAACAGAGUGUGUCACAAAAAUCACCUCAGUUGACCUCAGUUUUCACAUCUAUCCAAUAAGAGUUUGUAUUACAUUAUUUGGAAUAUAACUUCAAGUUCAUAAUUUUCAUGAUUAUAUAAAAACCAUUACAAAUAAAUAAAAUAUCUGCUAUGAUUACAUGAAAAUUCUAAUUUGAAAAGAAAUGCAUGGUUUUUUAUUUUUUGGUUGCUAUUAUUAAGCAGAAUGUGUUUCAAAGUAGAUGUACUCAACCCAAAUUUAUUUAUAAUUAGUAGCUUCAGCUGGCAUAUAGCAAUUAAUGUGUUUUUUCCAAAGGGUUUAACAUUCCUCCUGUUAUAUACUGCAAGCAACUUAUUUGUUUAUUAUAUUAUUAAAGCAGCCUUUAGGCCGAAGCGUGGUAAAUGAUCACAAAUCUCAAAUUUAAUGAAGUCGAAAUUGGUGACAUUUUAUUUCAUUUUUCUCAGAUCAUCAUAUGAUAAAAAUCACACUGCAUUUUACAAUAUCUGGAGGACAUGAUAAACUAGAGUAGCUAUUCAAAUAAAAUCCGUACUCUGUGGCUAAAGCUGGAAGGCUGAGAGUUAUAGUAAAGAUCACAAAUUCAUUAAUGAGGGCUCUCUUUAUAAUUGAAUUAUCUAGUCUGCCAUUUGUUUUUUGCAAUACAUUACUCAAUCAGUGACCAUUUAUUAAGGGCAUAAUAUUUUCCAGAUACCAAGCUAGGAAAAUGGAAGGGGCUGACGUGUGAAGUAGAUUACAAAAACAGGAACUUGGAAUGAAGGUGAAAGUGAUAGCUCAGCUAUUAGAAUGAGAAUGUGCUGGAUGGUCAGUGUGAGGUGGAGAAAGGGAAUACCUUUAGAACGGUGUGCUUUUAUCAAAGUCAAAACAGAAUAGUAACAUGAUUUACCUAGUACUGAGCCUUUUAGCCUUUAUCCUGGAGCAAGAAAGUAAAAAUAAAAUGGAGAGACCAGUGGAUGCUCACUGGAUUAUUCCCAAUAUUUAUCAAUAAGAACUUUCACAUAUAUUAUUUUAUUUGGUCCAUAAUAUAAAAAUCUACUUAUAUUUUGUUUCUCUUCCACGUAUUUGCAACAGAGAUUUCAGUUUGAGUCUGUAUUAGACUGUGCUACAUCUGGAAAUGUCUAAUAAACAAGUAGGAUGGGCCAGGAAGAAAACUGUGUUGCAUGAAUACUGAUUUAUUUAUCACUGGAUAAGUCAUCCUGCAGGAAUAAAGUCCCAGGCAUAAACAUCUUGGCUCAGAGAGGAAGUCUUAGUUUUCAGAGGGAGGCAGAAUUCUGAAUGCAGUAUAGUUACUGAAAAUUGCAUUUAUUUCCUGGUGAAACUACCAUUGGACCUGAAAUUCACAGAGAAUAAGAGAACGACUUGAAUGAAGUGAUCAUGUAAACUAGAGAAAGGAGAUUAAAAAUAACCUCUGGA